Molecule: long non-coding RNA, 3688 nt
Organism: Herpailurus yagouaroundi (jaguarundi)
Lineage: Eukaryota; Metazoa; Chordata; Mammalia; Carnivora; Felidae
Exons: 2
Source: RefSeq, a predicted model, not a curated record
UUCCUUUGUAUUCUUUGUUUCCUGAGGUUUUUUUUUAAAAUCAGGAAUAUAUAUUGGAUCUUUUUUCAAAUGUUUUAUCUUUAUUGAGAUGACUUUAUGCUUUUUAGUUGAAAAUUUGUUAAUAUGAUGGAUUACAUAGAUUACAUAGAUUGAUUUUCAAAUGUUGAACCAACUUUGCCUUCCUGGGAUACACUGCCCCAAUGUAUUAUCUAUCCUUCCAUUACAUUGUUUGAUUCAAUUUGCCAAACUUUUAUUUAGAAUUUUUAUAUCUGUGUUCAUGAGAAAUACUGACCUGACUUUUCUUUACUUGCAAUGUCUUUGGUUUAAUAGCCACAUGACAUUGGUUUUAUCUGAUACAUUUUGAAGUAUUUUCUCCUCAGUCUCUGAAAGAACUUGUGUAGAAUUGAUAUUAUUUCUUUCUAAAAUGUUUGGUAGAAUUUACUAUCCAAUCCUGACGAUGAGCACCCAGUUAUCAAUGUCGGGUUAUGCAUCCAGUCAUCACCCAACAUCAAUUCUCUUCCUGGGCGAAUCAACCCCUGUUGCCUGUUUCUUAGGGUCUGCUCUGUCUAUUUGAUAAUGGAGUCACGAGCCUGUAGUCUCUGGAGUGGGAUUAGCUCCUGGCAUCAGAAUCAGAGUUGUGAUUUGGUCUCUUAGUAACCAUUUCUCUUUCUUUUCUUUUUCUUUCUCGUCUUUCUUCUUUUCCUUUCUUUUUGCUUUUUUAAUAUUUUUUACCAUAUGUAAGUGUACACUCCAGCAACAUGAAGCACAUUCACAUUCUUGCACAACCACCACCCCGAUUUGCCUCUAGAACUCCCAUCUUCCCAAACUGAACAUCCGGACCCAUGCAACAACUCUUCACUCUCCCCCCGCCCGCCCCACCCCCGCCUCCCCGUCCCGCCCCGACCCAUUCUAUUUUAUGUCUCUACUAAUCUUACCACUGUGGGGUACCUCAUAUAAGUGGAAUCCUAGAGUAUUUGUCCUAUUGUGUCUGGCUGAUUUCACUGAGCAUAAUGUCUUCAAGGUUUAGCCACAUCGUUUAGCACGUGUCACAAUUUCCUUUUUUUUUUUUUUUUUUUUUUAUGGUUCAGUGAUAGUCCGUUGUGUGUAUUUGAGCAAAGAAGCGGAGUCUGAAAGUCAGUAGAGCUGAGUCACAAGAAUGUAACCCACAAGGAAAGGUUCGGUGCAUUCCUGCUCCCUGUGCUCCUGGAGUUUAUCUCUCCUAAGGCUUGGCUCCUUAAUUCUUACGAAUGAUUAAGAAUUCAGUGUUUCCCAGUACAAUUCUUCCCCACUCCCUUUAAGGAGCUAACCCAAAUCGGUUGUUCAUAAUAGAAGAGUCUUAACUGCUGUGGCCCAGGAUGUGUUUCAUCCGGGAAAUAGAGCGAUCAUCGUUGAGCUAGUCCCAUUGUUUCUUCAUGGCGGAGAGUGGCCAGAUUCAUAUAGAUGAUUCAUACCUGAAGUGGCUCUGUAAAUUGAAUUCAUGGUUCAAUACACAAGGGCUUUAAAUAAGCCUGAGAGACCACACUGCCAUAGGACAUUACUCAUGAAAAAAUAUCUUGAGAUGCAAAGUCCUAUUCAUUCUAUGAUGGCUGGACACUAAACAUUUAGAAGUGGAAUAAAAACACUGAGAUCCUAACAUGGAAGAUCUUCAAAAGAAUUAUUUCUCUUUAAAAGAAUUCUGAGAAUCCGAAAAACAUUGAGCAAAAGGAUUUCAAAAAGAUAUCAUUAGAGAAGAAAGACUCCGAAGAGAAAAGAGGCCAACAGAGGACACGAAACUAUGCUGAGUGUAUUGGGUUUAUUGAACGGGCUGAACUCUGUGGGGUCCAAACGGGAAACGACUUGUAUCUCCUCCAGCACUGCCAUCAGACCAGCUCUGCGUUGUGCUUCCUGCCCCUUGACAGUGUCUCCUGCGGGGCCUGCAGCAUUUAGAUUGCUUUCGGGGGCCAGGAGUCCAACAACUGCAUUUCUCAGACUCCCCUGCGAGCUGUUUACCGGGGAAGCCCUGUCAGCAGGAGGCACCAGUGGGAAACCAGAAGAGGAGCCUCUCCCUGUGUGUGGCACUGGAAGCAGCAGCCGGAGCUGGUGAUAACGGCUUCCAACAACGUCACUGCGGUCAAAGCAGCGACAGAGUUCCAGAAACCACAGCAGCAGCUCCAGUCCAGGUAGCAGAUUCCUGAUCUCUGGACGAUCCCCGUCCUCAUCCCAUUUUUACCUUCUCCAGUUUGGCCAACACGUUUGUAACCGAUUCGCCGCAUCGCAUCCUGUUUUACUCCGUCCAGAGUGGCUUCUGUUUUCCUGUCUUGAUAUUGACUGAUACAAUACGCAAAUUGUCCGAUGCAAACAGACCCUGAUCAGGGUGCAUGGGGUGCGGGGUGUAGUGAGGAGGGGUCACUGGCUUCUAAAGCUAAUCUCUGUUCUACUCAACCCUGAGCACUUUGACCACUUUUAUGGCGCAAGUGUGACCCUUGUCACCACCAGCCACUCAAGCUGGUUCUUUUUUGUUUUUUUAAGAGUUUAUUUUUAAGUAGUCUCCACAUCAGGUUGGCCCUUUGUGUUUUGAAUUUGACCCCCUAGUAACUGUCCCUUGGCUCCACCCCUCAGCCCCACUCUUUGCCCUUUGAAAGCUUGGCUGCCCCCUCUUUGAUGGUGGCCCUUGGUUACCUCUUGAUGCAAGCUUCUUGUGCAUAUGACGUUCCUGCUCUGACUUCCCCAAGCCAGGCUCCACACACAGUCUGCCCUAUUCCCAUCCCAGGAAGCAGGCAAAGCUCGUUUAAAAAUCCAAGAGUGUUAGCCUGUGUUCAACCAGAGAAGUAGAACCCAUAGUAAAAAGGGUAAAAAUACACAGAAGAAUAGGGGAUCAAGGGAUUGUUAGAGGAAGGAGCCCCACACAAUUGAGGGAGCUGGUUAAGUAGUCUCUGUGAGUAUGUGGUCUCCAUGUCUGAUGCUGGAACUUCAAGUCCAUAGGACAGGGAAUCAGGAAGAGAAGAUGGAUGUCAAGGACGGGGUAGAAGCCACAGAGGGGGCUGGUGCUCCAGAGGAUGGUCUGAAACCAUGUCAGUUCUUGUUGCCUCUGACCCUGUGGUAUGUCUGCAGAAGCUGAGUUGAAGAUAUGGAGCUGGGAGUACAAUGAGCAAAUACUCUUAAAGCUCAGAGGGCAGAGAAUCAGAAGAGAACUGCAUAGAUAGGGCUCUGAUGAUCGGCAGAAGGUCCGCCUUGAGUUUUUCAGUGGGAAACUGAUCAGUGCAAGCAUGUGAGGAAAUCACCCAAGCCUAGUAAAACCACCCAAAAGGAUUAGAAGGAGCAAUCACUCAGCUCACAUAGGAUCAGGAAUGGUUCCUAUUCUCACAAAACAAAGUAAAAAAAAAAAAACCCUCAUAAUUCACAAGGCAUCCAACAGAAUACCCAAAAAAGGUUAGCUUUGCCUCAGUACUGGGGCAAAAUCAGCCCCAAUCUAAUAGUGCCUGGUCCUACUUAACCAAACAUAAAUCUAAGACAUGAAAGGGUGAAACUAUUCCCAAGUAGUUUAACUGCACUCCAGAACAAAGCUCAAGCAUAUUUUCAGACAUUACAAAAUGUCUAGUACCAAACAAAGUAAUACUCACAAUCUCUGACAUCCAAUAAAAAAUGAUCAGGCAUGCAAAGAAGCAGGAAAAUAUAACCUCCUCAUAAUUGAGGAGAAAAAUCAGUCAAU